RNAcentral lists this ribosomal RNA (779 nucleotides) under uncultured Neocallimastigales. RNAcentral describes it as "partial large subunit ribosomal RNA". It matches the Rfam family "Eukaryotic large subunit ribosomal RNA", at positions 23 to 640 of the family's 3401-position model. The record is from RNAcentral. Lineage: Eukaryota; Fungi; Neocallimastigomycota; Neocallimastigomycetes; Neocallimastigales.
GAGAGAGACAUGCGCGCAUAUCAAUAAGCGGAGGAAAAGAAACUAACUAGGAUUCCCUUAGUAACGGCGAGUGAAGCGGGAAGAGCUCAAAUUUGAAAUCUUCAAGGUUCUACCUUGACGAAUUGUAGUUUAAAGAAGUGUUUUCGGUUAGAGGAGUUUAGGUAAAAGUUCUUUGGAAUAGGACAUCAUAGAGGGCGAGAAUCCCGUAUUUGGCCUAUUUCUUUCUAGCUGUGUGAUACACUUUCAAAGAGUCGGAUUGUUUGGGAAUGCAGUCCAAAAUGGGUGGUAAAUUUCAUCUAAAGCUAAAUAUUGGCGAGAGACCGAUAGCGAACAAGUACCGUGAGGGAAAGAUGAAAAGAACUUUGAGAAGAGAGUUAAACAGUACGUGAAAUUGUCAAAAGGGAAGCGUUUGACACCAGUGUUGUUUUUUCCGAAAAUCGAUUACGAAUGUUUUGUUUUUGAGAAGUUAUGACUUCAUCGGCUUGCUUCUUUCUUUACGAAACUUUCUUAAUGCACUUUUCGGUUAACAAGUCAACAUCAAUUUCUUUUGUUGUAAAAGGGUACGAGGAAGGUGGCUUUCUUUUCGGAGAAAGUGUUUAUAGCCUUGUGCCUCUGCAAUCGGAGAGAUUGAGGUCUGCAGCGUAGAUCCUUCGGGGUUAGAUACAUUUGUGCUAAGUUAUAGCUUUUCAUAGACAACUUGUUGACUAUGUUUAGUCUUGUAGCUUACUCGCUUAUGCUAUUUUACCUACGCUUAGGAUGUUGACAGCAGUAUAGACUGU